CUCAGCUUAUCCAGAGUUUGCCACAGAUUGCAAGGUAUUUGCAUGACAUCUGCAACAUUUCUUUUCUCCUUCCAUCUUGUUCUUUUUCACAUUUUUAGACUUAUGAUGUAUUAGAUAGUCGGUUAUGCAUUUAGAGGCUCUAGACUUGUGACACCAGAUGUUUGGUCUAUGUUGCUUUAUGUUUCAUUUACUUCCGCAUAUUUUUGUUAUUUUAAACAUUUCUUAUGAAAAUUGGUAUUUAAACCUAUGUUAGAAAAUGCCUUUUAUAAAGGAAAUUCGAUAUGAUUAAUGGUUUGGGUUGGCUUUACUAGUAAGGUGAUAUGCUCCAUCACGAUUGGGUAUUUGGGAUCAUGACAAGUUGGUAUCAGUACCUAGGUUACAUAGGUCUCGCGAGUCAUGAGCCGGUUUAGUAGAGUCCCGUGGAUCGGUACAGAGACGUCUGUAUUGAUCCUCGAGAGGCUAUAUAACCUUUAGGAAAAAACUUCAUAUUCUUGAAAUUCUGGUUGUGCGAAUCUGUGGAUCUGAGUACUAAACUUCUGUUAUUCCAUUCUCUCACAAAUGGUGGGGACACGUGCUACGGGUUAGGAUGGAAGACUACCAUUACCACUAGCUAGGGCCACUAUAGGCUGAGGAUGCGGUCAAGGCCUUGGUAGGGGCAAAGCAGCUAGGGCAACACUUGCAAAUCUACCAGCUGCCCAGUUCAGGAUCAGGUCCCAGUAAUAGAAGCUGCAGUAGCACCAACUCAUACACCAAUUGUGCCUAUUGUGAUUCCAGGCCUUCAGGAGGAUUUAGUUCAGAUUUUAUCAAUGUGUACCGGUUUGGCUUAGGCGGUCUUAGUUACUACUGCCGAAGCUACUUCUAAGGCCAGAGGAGGCACCUAGACUGUCGUUGCUCGCACACCUGAGCAGGUUGCGUUGGGACUCCAUAUACUAGGGGCACCUCUAGCCCAACCGGUUGCACCAGCUCAGGAGUAUAUGGUACCUGUUACACCAGACGACGAGCAGCGUUGAUUAGAGAGGUUUGGUAGACUCUAGCCUCCGACUUUCAGUGGUGUAGAGGGCGAGGAUGCCUAAGAUUUUUUGAUAAAUGCCGUAGGAUGCUUCGUACAGUGAGUAUUCUGGAGACCAAUGGUGUGGCGUUCACUACCUUUCAGUUUUCUGGGGCUUCCUUCACUUGGUGGGAGGCGUGUAAGAGAUGUAGGCCUGUUGGUGCAACGCCCCUUACCUGGGAUUAGUUCUCUGUUCUCUUUCUGGAGAAGUAUAUGCCAUAGUCUCACCAAGAGAAACUGUGCAUGCAGUUUGAGUAGUUGUGUUAGGGGGAUAUGACUGUGAUGCAAUAUGAGAUGCCAUUCUCUGAGUUUGCUUGUUACGGUCAGGUUGGUUUCCACUGAUCGAGAGAGGAUCAGGAGAUUCAUUGAUGGCCUCAUGUAUCAGCUUCGAAUUGUCAUAACUAGGGAAAGAGUGACAGGUGCUACUUUCGAGGAGGUUGUUGACAUCGCCCAUGAGAUUGAGUUGGUUUGUCACUAGGAGUUAGAGGAAAGGGAGGCCAAGAGCCUCGAGAAUCUGGUAACUUUGUAGUGCUCCUUCGAGGGGUCAGUUUUAGCCGAGCAGAGGUUGUCCAUUCAGGCAGGCUUCGUCAGCCCGCCUAGGUUAUCGUGGGCAUCAUCGGGUCAUGGUUAUCAUAGUUCUUAUUAGGUCCAUUCAUUACUCAGUGCUCUUCUAGCCUAGAGUUCAUCCCGUGCUCCAUCGGUUCAAGGUUCUUCCAUGCUAGGUCCUUCUACUAGUCAUCCAAGUGCCAGGGUUUCCCUUCAGUCCCCAUCUCCAACACCAAGUAGUUGUUAUGAGUGUGGAGAGUUUGGGCAUAUGAGGAGGCAGUGUCCUCGUCUUCAUGAUGGUCCAUCUUAGCAAAGGGGUCAGCCCUCGACUUCAGCUCCAAUUACUUCACCACUCGCCUAGCAAGCUAGGGGUGCAGGUCAGUCAGUUCGGGGUCACCCUAGAGGAGGGGGUAACCAGGUGGUGGUCAGGCUCAUUUCUAUGCCCUCCCAGGUAGAUGGGAUGUUGCUGCUUCAGAUGCCGUGAUUUCUGGUAUUGUUUUAGUAUGUCACAGGAUGCCUCUAUAUUAUUUGAUCCCGGUUCCACCUUUUCUUAUGUGUCAUCAUACUUUACCCGUUAUCUGUAUACGCCUUGUGAGUCUCUUGUUUCACCUGUUCAUGUAUCUACUCCAGUGAGCAUUACUGUUAUUGUAGACAAUAUGUACCGGUCGGGUGUGGUGAGUAUUGGGGGUUUAGAGACCCGAAUAGACCUUUUAAUAUUGUGUAUGGUGGAUUUUGAUGUCAUUUUUGGAAUGGAUAUCAUGCCAAGGCAUUCAUAUUGGCUAUAUCGGGUUUUCCACAGAUAGAGUGGCGAGGUUUGACUGAGUAUGUUCCCAGUAGAGUGAUCUCAUUCUUGAAGGCCCAACAUAUGGUUGGGAAAGGAUGUCUUUCGUAUCUAGCCUUUGUGAGGGAUGUUAGAUCUGAGACUCCUAGUAUUGACUCAGUUUUAGUUGUGAGGGAGUUUCCCGAUGUGAUUCUUGCAAACUUGUCUGGCAUGCCACCAGAUAGGGAUAUUGAUUUUGGUAUUGACAUGGUAUAGGCCACUCAGCCCAUUUCUAUUUCGACGUAUCGUAUAGCACUAGCGAAGUUGAAAGAGUUAAAGGAGUAGCUUCAGGAACUCCUUGAUAAAGUGUUAAUUCGGCCUAGUGUGCCACCUUCGGGUGCACCGAUUCUAUUUGUGAAGUAGAAGGAUGGAACUAUGAGUAUGUGCAUCGAUUAUAGAUAAUUGAACAAAGUAACAGUUAAGAACAAGUAUCUUUUGCCCCACAUUGAUGAUUUAUUCGAACAACUUCAGGGAGCGAGAGUGUUUUCCAAGAUUGAUCUCUAUUCGCGUUAUCGCCAGUUGAAGAUCAGGGACUCGGAUGUUCUUUAGAUAGCCUUCAGGACCCGUUAUAGUCAAUAUGAGUUCUUGGUGAUGUCUUUUGGGCUGACCAAUGCCCCAAAAACUUUCAUGCAUUUGAUGAACAACGUGUUCCGGCCUUAUCUCGACUCGUUUGUCAUAUUCUUCAUUGAUGAUAUUCUGGUGUAUACUCGUAGUGAGAAGGGGCAAGCAGAGCAUUUGAGAGUUGUGUUGCAAAGAUUGAGGGAGAAGAAACUUUAUGAAAAAUUCUCCAAGUGUGAGUUUUGGAUCAAUUUAGUGGCUCUCUUGGGGAACGUGGUGUCCAGCGUGGGUAUUCUGGUUGAUCUGAAGAAGAUAGAGGUAGUUCAAAGUUAGCCCAGAUUGUCCUCAGCCACACAGAUUCACAGCUUUCUUGGUUUAGCAGGCUAUUACCGAUGGUUUGUUCAGGGAUUCUCAUCUAUCGCAUCACCCUUGACCAAGUUGACUUAGAAGGGUGCUUCAUUUAUAUUGUAAGAAGAGUGUGAAAAGAGCUUUCGGAAGCUUAAGACAGCCUUGACCACAACUCCAGUGUUAGUUUUGUCAUCAGCUUCAGGUUCAUAUACCGUGUAUUGUGAUAUUUUGAGUGUUGGUACUGGUUUUUCUUUGAUGUAGGAUGGUAGAGUUAUUGCUUAUGCUUCUCUUCAAUUGAAGCCCCAUGAGAAGAACUACCACGUUCAUAAUUUCGAGUUGGCUAACAUAGUUCACGUGUUGAAGAUUUUGAGGCAUUACUUAUAUGGUGUGUCUUGUGAGGUGUUUACUGAUCAUUGUAGCCUCCAGCACUUGUUCAAACAGAAGGAUCUCAAUUUGGGGCAAGGGAGGUGGUUGGAGUUGCUUAAGGAUUAUGAUAUCACUAUAUUGUACCAUCCGGGGAAGGCCAAUGGGUGGCUGAUGCUUUGAGCCGAAAGGCGGUGAGUAUGGGAAGUUUGACAUAUAUUCCAGUUGGGGAGAGACCUCUUGAAGUGGAUGUUCAGGCCUUUGACAAUCGGUUCGUGAAGUUAGAUAUUUCAGAGCCCAGUCGGGUGUUGGCUUGUGUGGUUUCUCGGUCUUCUUUAUAUGAUCGCAUCAAAGAGUACCAGUAUGACAAUCCGCAUUUGCUUGUCCUUAUGGAUAGAGUUCAGCAUGAUGAUGGCAAAGAUGUGAACAUUGAUGAUGAUAGGGUGUUGAGGAUGCAAGGUCGGAUAUGUGUGCCUAAUGUAGAUAUGCUUCGGAAGUUGAUCCUGGAGGAGGCCCAUAGCUCGCGGCAUUCCAUUCAUUCGGGUGCCGCGAAGAUGUAUCAAGAUAUGAAACAACAUUAUUGGUGGAAGAGACUGAAUAAAGACAUUGUGGGAUUUGUAGCUCGGUGUCUCAAUUGUCAGCAUGUGAAAUAUGAACAUCAGAGACGUGGUGGCUUGCUUCAGCGGAUGGAUAUUCUAGAAUGGAGGUGGGAGAGGACUAUGGACUUUCUUGUGGGACUUCUACGGACUUUGAGGAAGUUUUAUGGUAUUUCAGUGAUUGUGGAUCGGCUGACCAAGUCCGCACACUUUAUUCCUAUGUGUACUACUUAUUCUUUAGAGCGGUUGGCAGAGAUUUAUAUCUGGGAGAUUGUUCGUUUGCAUAAUGUCCCAGUUUCCAUCAUUUCGGAUAGGGGCACUAAGUUUACUUCUCAAUUUACUUCACAGUUUUGAAGGUCUGUGCAGUGAGAGUUGGGUACUCAGGUUGAGCUGAGCACAACUUUUCAUUCUCAGACGGACGGGUAGUCGGAACGCACUAUUCAGAUAUUGGAGGACAUGUUGCGUGCUUGUAUCAUUGAUUUUGGAGGGUCAUAGGAUCAGUUUCUACCACUUGCAGAGUUUGCUUAUAACAACAACUACCAGUCGAGUGUUUAGAUGGCUCCAUAUGAGGCCUUGUAUGAGAGGCAGUGUAGAUCUCCAGUUGGUUGGUUUGAGUCGGGCGAGGCUAGGCUAUUGGGGACAGACUUGGUGCAGGAUGCUUUAGACAAGGUGAAAGUGAUUCAGGAGAGGUUUCGUACAAUAAAGUCGAGGAAAAAGAGUUAUGUUGACAGGAAGGUUCGAGAUGUGUUUUACAUGGUUAUCGAGAAGGUUCUGUUGAAGGUCUCUCCCAUGAAGAGUGUUAUGAGAUUUGGGAAGAAAGUGAAAUUAAGUCCUCGGUUCAUUGGGCCUUUUGAGGUACUUCAGAGGAUUGGGAAGGUGAUUAUGGCUUGCUUUGCCAUCCAGCUUGUCGAGUGCGCAUCUGGUAUUUCAUGUUUGUAUGCUCCGAAAGUAUAUUGGGGAUCUGUCUCAUGUUCUUGAUUUCAGCAUGGUUCAGUUGGAUGAUGAAUUGACCUAUGUGUGGAGCCAGUAGCUAUUUUGGGUUGUCAGGUAUGAAAGUUGAGAUCAAAGGAUAUAGCUUCAAUGAAAGUGCAUAGGAGAGGUCGGCUAGCGGAGGAGGCUACCUGGGAGACCGAGCGGGAGAUGCGGAGCAGAUAUCGUCACCCGUUUGAGGCUUAUGUUUCUUGAAUCGUUCGAGGACGAAUGCUUAUUUAAGUUGGGGAGGAUGUGAUGACCUGGCCAAUCGUCUCAUGAGUUACCUCUAUGUUUCCCCCAUUUCUACUUCUUUAUGCUUCGUAUAUCAGUUCCAUGUAUGAUCGGGUUGGUUGGCACAGGUUCUGAAAGGAUUUGGUAAAUUUUGACACACUUAGUCUCUUUUUAGGAAGCUUAAGUUGGAAAAUUCAGCCAGAUGUUGACUUAUGUGUUAGAGGGCUCGGAUGGUUCGUAUAGCUUCUGGAGGUGAUUUAGGACUUAGGAGCAUGAUCAGAAUGAGUUUUGGUGGUUCGGAGUAGAUUUAGGCUUGAAUUGGUGAAGUUGACAUAUUUUGGCGAUUUUCGGUUGGCAGGUGAGAUUUACCUAUAGGGGUCAGAAUGGAAUUCCUAGAGAUAUAGUAGUUCCGUGGUAUCAUUUGGGAUGUGUGUGUAAAAGUUUCAAGUCAUUCGGAUGUGGUUUUGUUGGAUUUUUUAUCAAAAGCAAAAUUCGAAAGAUUUCGGAAACUUAGUUUUGAAUCUGACGUGUUUUGGUUGAUUCGAUAUUGUUUGAGGUGUUUUGAGGAUUGGUACAAGUUUGAAUAAGGUUUUUGGGUAUGUUGGUGCUUUUGUUAAGGUCCUAGGGGCCUCGGGGUGAUUUCGGAUGGUUGACAGAAAAGUUGGAGUUUUUGGUGAGCUUCCGAUUUUUCCUGCUUCUGGUGUUUCCGCAACUGUGGAUUAGGGAUCGCAGGUGCGAUGCCACAGAUGCAAGAAAGGAUGUUUCAAAAGCAGAAAAUGCCUAGGAAGGUAGGAACAAAAGAUGUAGUUGUAUGAUCGCAUAUGUGGAGGCGCAGGUGCGGAAUAUCCAUCACAAAUGUGAUUUUGGCUGGCUAAGUGAAGAAACACAUAAGCGGUUCAGUGGCCGCUAAUGCGGCACCGUAGAUGCGGAAAUGCCUGGUUCAGAAGGUAUAUAUUGUUUCCUUCGCAAGUUUUUGCUAAGUUCUUCAUUUUUGAAAUGGAGAAAUGGACCAAGGCUGUGGAAUUCAAGAGAAAUCAUGGCAUAUCAGUUGGGUAAGUUUCCUAAGCUUCAUUAUUUGGGUUUAUGAUCAUUUUUUCAUUGUUUAAUCAUGGUAUUAGUGGAGAUUAAGGGAGAAAAAUUGGAGAUUAGGGCUUGAGAUUAAGAGACUUUAAAAUAGAAAUUUAAGGGGCCAUUUGGACUCCGAUUUCAAUGUUUUUGGUAUGAAUGGACUCGUGGAGUGAUAAGGAUUCCUUUGAUGUAAAUUUUACCGGAUUUUGAGACAUGGGCUCGGGGUUAGGAUUUUGCCAAAUUUCUAUUUUUUGGUAUAUUUUGAUUAUUUUCGCUUGGGUUUUGUUCCCUUAACAUAUUUUGAUGUCGUGAUUAUGAUUUUGGAUAGAUUCGUCGUGACUGGAGCCGAUUCGAUGGGCAAAGGCAUCACAGAGUAGUAUUUGCACCAGUUUGAGAUAAGUAACCAUUGUAAAUCUAGAACUGAAGGUACAAUUCCCGGUAUUUGACUUGUUUUUGAUAAAUGUAGUGACACACAUGCUAGGUGAUGAGCGUAUGACAUGCAUCGGUAGGGAUACUUGGUCUGUCUCGUAGCGACUAUUAAGCCGCAUAUUGGAUUUGAAACCUUAUGAUAUUCCGUACUUUAGUCAUUUAUGUUGUAUUAUGGGUCGUAUGCCAUGUUUGGAGCCUUGUGCCGACCUAUCGAGACCCUUGAGGGAAUUUCAACUAUUUCUCAUCACUCUAUUUGUUUAGAAAGCAUAUCCUCAUUCAUGUUUUACCUGUUUAUUGUUUAAAACUGAUUUUGUCACUCUACUUUUAAUGUGAGGGCUGUUUGGAAUUAGUUCCCUAAUUUCUACUGUUGUGCCCUAGAGGUUGUGAGGUUAAUGACUAAGAGAGGUUGACAACCUAAUAGUGAAGAUACUUAUAUUGGUAUUAAAUAUGGAUCGGGUUGCAUGCUGCAUUAAUACUUAUAUGGAUCGGGCUAUAUGAGGCAGUGAUAUGAUGCUUGGGGUGUAGGAGCGCUUCCUGAGUUCUGUAAACCCCCAGUGAGCGUAGUCGACUACAAAUUGUGGAUCGGGCUGCACGCCGCAAUAAUUAUUGUGAUUAUUACUAUUACGAGAUUUUAAUGAGCAUGAGUGCUGUGAUUGUGUACUGAGUGACGAGAGCUGAGUCACGAGUGAUUGAAAGGCUGCCCAAGAGGCCAUGUUUUCAGUGGUAACUUGCCCGAGGGGCCUAUUCAUGAUAGUUCAUUGAUUCACUCUUUCUUAAAAAUAAGCCUCUUUUGAAAAUUGCUAGUAAAUGAUUUAAUCAUUCCAAAUUGAAACUGAAGUUUUUAUGACAAAGCUGGUUUAUAAACUUUGGAAUUUGAUCUUUUAUGUUGUUGUUACUCCUUUAUAUGCUUUUUACUGCUCGUCACCGCUUUCAGACUUUAUUUACUUUAGUUGCUUACUAAGUUGGCGUACUCACAUUGCUCCCUGUACCUUAUGUACUGAUCCAGGUGCCCAAGCAGUAGAGUGUGGGUCCUCAGCUUAUCCAAAGUUUGUCAGAGAUUGCAAGGUAGCGGCACGGCGUCCGCAACCCCGCUUUCCUCUUUCCAUCUUGUUCUUUUCCGCAUUUUAGACAUAUGAUC
Molecule: long non-coding RNA, 8117 nt
Filed under: Nicotiana benthamiana
Lineage: Eukaryota; Viridiplantae; Streptophyta; Magnoliopsida; Solanales; Solanaceae
Description: long non-coding RNA (NBEN_LNC042206)
Source: RNAcentral